GACGAACGCUGGCGGCGUGCUUAACACAUGCAAGUCGAACGGUAAGGCCCUUCGGGGUACACGAGUGGCGAACGGGUGAGUAACACGUGGGUGAUCUGCCCUGCACUUCGGGAUAAGCCUGGGAAACUGGGUCUAAUACCGGAUAGGACUCCGGACUGCAUGGUCUGGGGUGGAAAGCUUUUGCGGUGUGGGAUGGGCCCGCGGCCUAUCAGCUUGUUGGUGGGGUGAUGGCCUACCAAGGCGACGACGGGUAGCCGGCCUGAGAGGGUGACCGGCCAAACUGGGACUGAGAUACGGCCCAGACUCCUACGGGAGGCAGCGGUGGGGAAUAUUGCACAAUGGGCGCAAGGCUGAUGCAGCGACGCCGCGUGAGGGAUGACGGCCUUCGGGUUGUAAACCUCUUUCAGCAUCGACGAAGCGAAAGUGACGGUAGGUGCAGAAGAAGGACCGGCCAACUACGUGCCAGCCGCCGCGGUAA
Molecule: ribosomal RNA, 478 nt
Filed under: uncultured bacterium
Lineage: Bacteria
Description: partial 16S ribosomal RNA
Rfam family: Bacterial small subunit ribosomal RNA
Source: RNAcentral